RNAcentral lists this ribosomal RNA (490 nucleotides) under uncultured bacterium. RNAcentral's name for it is "partial 16S ribosomal RNA". It matches the Rfam family "Bacterial small subunit ribosomal RNA", at positions 30 to 507 of the family's 1533-position model. The record is from RNAcentral.
AUUGAACGCUGGCGGCAGGCCUAACACAUGCAAGUCGAACGGUAACAGGAAGACUCUUGCUUCUUUGCUGACGAGUGGCGGACGGGUGAGUAAUGUCUGGGAAACUGCCUGAUGGAGGGGGAUAACUACUGGAAACGGUAGCUAAUACCGCAUAACGUCGCAAGACCAAAGAGGGGGACCUUCGGGCCUCUUGCCAUCGGAUGUGCCCAGAUGGGAUUAGCUAGUAGGUGGGGUAACGGCUCACCUAGGCGACGAUCCCUAGCUGGUCUGAGAGGAUGACCAGCCACACUGGAACUGAGACACGGUCCAGACUCCUACGGGAGGCAGCAGUGGGGAAUAUUGCACAAUGGGCGCAAGCCUGAUGCAGCCAUGCCGCGUGUAUGAAGAAGGCCUUCGGGUUGUAAAGUACUUUCAGCGGGGAGGAAGGGAGUAAAGUUAAUACCUUUACUCAUUGACGUUACCCGCAGAAGAAGCACCGGCUAACUCCGUG